UUGGCAAAGAGGACAAUUCAACCUGACAGGUAUACAUCAGCUUACGCAAUGCAUCGCUUGAGUCUAUUUUUGUAUAGUUUUAGUUCAAUUGAACCACUUCAAUCCAAUGUUGGUAUUGCUCGCUCUGCUUUGAGCAUACAAAUACACCAAGUGUUACCAAAUAUCAAUAAUAUUGCCAUUCCACUGCUUUACCAAAUUUUUGAUGUUUUCGCUCUUUAUGAGGUUGGUUUUUGUUCACUAUGGUUACUAGAAUGAUACCAGAAUAAGACAUCUGCAAUUAAAUUGUUGGUGUUUAUAACAUGAACCAAAACUUGCACGGGUAGUUCUUAGCAAACUUUUCAUGACGAGCUUCUGUUUAUUCAAACUACAUAAUAGUACUCUGGUUUGCUUCGAGAAAUCGAUGUUCUCAUUCAUCGUGUGCAUGUAGUUUUGACAACAACUUCACCACAUUGAAUAGGCCUUAGAUCCAUGUAUCCAUGUGACUAAUGUUUUUUCCUCUGUCAUGCAGGGUAAGCUUAUCCCCAGAUGUGGAAGAUCAGUUGGAGAGAACGCGGUUCCAAAGAUAGCAACACUGUAGAUGUCAAAUAUGAUUAUGCUGCAGUUUCAACCACGUCUGAACAACAGUAGAUAUGUGUUUUUCAUAUGUACCCCUGAAGUGUAAAAAUAGCAUCAAUAUGAAUAUCAGGAGCCCCAGCGUGCACGGUUGUGUAUUAUUGCCUGCUAAU
RNAcentral lists this long non-coding RNA (725 nucleotides) under Triticum aestivum (bread wheat). RNAcentral describes it as "long non-coding RNA (TAES_LNC028212)". The record is from RNAcentral. Lineage: Eukaryota; Viridiplantae; Streptophyta; Magnoliopsida; Poales; Poaceae.